This 66-nucleotide transfer RNA is filed under the name Brachytemnus porcatus. Its description in RNAcentral is "tRNA-Leu". Lineage: Eukaryota; Metazoa; Arthropoda; Insecta; Coleoptera; Curculionidae. The record is from RNAcentral.
AUUAUUUUGGCAGAAAAGUGUAAUAGAUUUAGAAUCUAUAAAUGUAAUUAGUUAUUACAAAUAAUA